RNAcentral lists this ribosomal RNA (301 nucleotides) under uncultured bacterium. Its description in RNAcentral is "partial 16S ribosomal RNA". It matches the Rfam family "Bacterial small subunit ribosomal RNA", at positions 509 to 809 of the family's 1533-position model. The record is from RNAcentral.
CAGUAGCCGCGGGAAUACAGAGGGUGCGAGCGUUAAUCGGAUUUACUGGGCGUAAAGCGUGCGUAGGCGGCUUUUUAAGUCGGAUGUGAAAUCCCUGAGCUUAACUUAGGAAUUGCAUUCGAUACUGGGAAGCUAGAGUAUGGGAGAGGAUGGUAGAAUUCCAGGUGUAGCGGUGAAAUGCGUAGAGAUCUGGAGGAAUACCGAUGGCGAAGGCAGCCAUCUGGCCUAAUACUGACGCUGAGGUACGAAAGCAUGGGGAGCAAACAGGAUUAGAUACCCGUGUAGUCCCUGUCUCUUUAUA